RNAcentral lists this ribosomal RNA (648 nucleotides) under Bacillus sp. Sd3-21. Its description in RNAcentral is "bacterial SSU rRNA". It matches the Rfam family "Bacterial small subunit ribosomal RNA", at positions 119 to 752 of the family's 1533-position model. The record is from RNAcentral. Lineage: Bacteria; Bacillati; Bacillota; Bacilli; Caryophanales; Bacillaceae.
GGGUAACCUGCCUGUAAGAUGGGAUAACUCCGGGAAACCGGGGCUAAUACCGGAUGCUUGUUUGAACCGCAUGGUUCAAACAUAAAAGGUGGCUUCGGCUACCACUUACAGAUGGACCCGCGGCGCAUUAGCUAGUUGGUGAGGUAAUGGCUCACCAAGGCAACGAUGCGUAGCCGACCUGAGAGGGUGAUCGGCCACACUGGGACUGAGACACGGCCCAGACUCCUACGGGAGGCAGCAGUAGGGAAUCUUCCGCAAUGGACGAAAGUCUGACGGAGCAACGCCGCGUGAGUGAUGAAGGUUUUCGGAUCGUAAAGCUCUGUUGUUAGGGAAGAACAAGUACCGUUCGAAUAGGGCGGUACCUUGACGGUACCUAACCAGAAAGCCACGGCUAACUACGUGCCAGCAGCCGCGGUAAUACGUAGGUGGCAAGCGUUGUCCGGAAUUAUUGGGCGUAAAGGGCUCGCAGGCGGUUUCUUAAGUCUGAUGUGAAAGCCCCCGGCUCAACCGGGGAGGGUCAUUGGAAACUGGGGAACUUGAGCGCAGAAGAGGAGAGUGGAAUUCCACGUGUAGCGGUGAAAUGCGUAAAGAUGUGGAGGAACACCAGUGGCGAAGGCGACUCUCUGGUCUGUAACUCGACGCUGAGGA